CCUACGGGUGGCAGCAGUGAGGAAUAUUGGUCAAUGGGCGCGAGCCUGAACCAGCCAAGUCGCGUGAAGGAUGACUGCCCUACGGGUUGUAAACUUCUUUUAUCAAGGAAUAAAGUGAGGCACGUGAGCCUUUUUGAAUGUAUUUUAUGAAUAAGGAUCGGCUAACUCCGUGCCAGCAGCCGCGGUAAUACGGAGGAUCCGAGCGUUAUCCGGAUUUAUUGGGUUUAAAGGGAGCGUAGAUGGGUUGUUAAGUCAGUUGUGAAAGUUUGCGGCUCAACCGUAAACUUGCAAUUGAUACUGGCAGCCUUGAGUACGGGUGAGGUAGGCGGAAUGCGUGGUGUAGCGGUGAAAUGCUUAGAUAUCACGAAGAACUCCGAUUGCGAAGGCAGCCUACUAGCCCGCAACUGACACUGAUGCACGAAAGUGUGGGUAUCAAACAGGAUUAGAUACCCUAGUAGUC
RNAcentral lists this ribosomal RNA (460 nucleotides) under uncultured bacterium. RNAcentral's name for it is "partial 16S ribosomal RNA". It matches the Rfam family "Bacterial small subunit ribosomal RNA", at positions 338 to 795 of the family's 1533-position model. The record is from RNAcentral.